RNAcentral lists this ribosomal RNA (369 nucleotides) under uncultured organism. RNAcentral's name for it is "bacterial SSU rRNA". It matches the Rfam family "Bacterial small subunit ribosomal RNA", at positions 528 to 896 of the family's 1533-position model. The record is from RNAcentral.
GAGGGUGCAAGCGUUAAUCGGAAUUACUGGGCGUAAAGCGUGCGUAGACGGUUACGUAAGUCGGGUGUGAAAGCCCCGGGCUCAACCUGGGAAUUGCAUUCGAGACUGCGUAGCUAGGGUGCGGAAGAGGGAAGCGGAAUUUCGGGUGUAGCGGUGAAAUGCGUAGAUAUCCGAAGGAACAUCAGUGGCGAAAGCGGCUUCCUGGUCCAGCACCGACGUUCAGGCACGAAAGCGUGGGGAGCAAACAGGAUUAGAUACCCUGGUAGUCCACGCCAUAAACGAUGACAACUAGACGUUGAGAGGGUAAGCCUCCCAGUGUCGCAGCAAACGCGUUAGGUUGUCCGCCUGGGGAGUACGGCCGCAAGGUUG